CGCGUGAGUGAAGAAGGUUUUCGGAUCGUAAAGCUCUGUUGUAAGAGAAGAACGCGUGUGAGAGUGGAAAGUUCACACAGUGACGGUAACUUACCAGAAAGGGACGGCUAACUACGUGCCAGCAGCCGCGGUAAUAACGUAGGUCCCGAGCGUUGUCCGGAUUUAUUGGGCGUAAAGCGAGCGCAGGCGGUUUAAUAAGUCUGAAGUUAAAGGCAGUGGCUUAACCAUU
This 229-nucleotide ribosomal RNA is filed under the name uncultured bacterium. RNAcentral's name for it is "partial 16S ribosomal RNA". It matches the Rfam family "Bacterial small subunit ribosomal RNA", at positions 398 to 617 of the family's 1533-position model. The record is from RNAcentral.